AAUUAUGUACGUAUGAUUUUUGGGCUUAUUUGUAACGGGUUUAAACUGUGACAAAAUUAUAUUGGUCACGGAUCGAAAUCCAUUACUAUACUGACGGAUGGUAUUUAUGAUAGUUACGGAUUCUAGUUUACGUGAUUAUUAUUUUUAAAAAGAGUAACUAUGCUGUCAAGCUGUCAUCGACUUCUUCACUUCGUUACCCCCCAAACCCAAAAAGAAAGUUCUUCAGAUCUGCUUUUUCCAGAAACAAAUCUCCAUUUUUCAUUCAGUGUUCGUACAAAAUACACAACUAAUUAACAAUUUUGCGUUUCCAUAUACAAAAAUUAGUAGAAAUUACAAGAGUAAAACUCAAACAAGAAUAGCAUCCAUCCCGACUCAAACUAACAAAUGCCCAUUAGCUUCAGCGAGCAUGAUUGUAUCUUCAAUGAUCCUUUCAGCAAAACUUAAAAUAAAGAAAAAGAUAUGAACUAUGUUAUCAUUCAAAGAAGAAACUCAAAUAAGUAUAUUGAUUCCAAAUUAUGAAAUCAGAUCAGUAGAGGAAAGCCUGAUGAAGAGAAAACAAAUAUAAGAAACCACAGUGUAAAGUGGUUCAGAGAAGUUCCUUUCAUCUCACCUUUAGCUGAUUAUUAGGAGCCUCCGGUCUAGAUCUAUUCAAGACCUCCUUUUUCAUCCUAAGCGAGUUCAUGUGCUAUCUCAACAAACAAAAUCGACGAUUUCUUCUCUGGGAUUACUCUCCGUUCCAUUCACCGUAACUAAAAGAUAAAAGAAUUGAUAGAAAUUUUGGUAGAGGAAUGGAAACGAAGAUGAAAAGAAAAUUGUGGGAAGAAAAUGAUACGGGAAGAUAGGUGGGAAAGAAAAAAGUGAGAGAUAGAGUCAGCUGGGUGAAAGAGGGAGAGAGAUAAAAAUGGUAAGAAAAAGUGAGAG
RNAcentral lists this long non-coding RNA (921 nucleotides) under Linum usitatissimum (flax). RNAcentral describes it as "long non-coding RNA (LUSI_LNC002942)". Lineage: Eukaryota; Viridiplantae; Streptophyta; Magnoliopsida; Malpighiales; Linaceae. The record is from RNAcentral.